This 465-nucleotide ribosomal RNA is filed under the name uncultured bacterium. Its description in RNAcentral is "partial 16S ribosomal RNA". It matches the Rfam family "Bacterial small subunit ribosomal RNA", at positions 338 to 795 of the family's 1533-position model. The record is from RNAcentral.
CCUACGUGUGGCAGCAGUGGGGAAUAUUGCGCAAUGGGCGAAAGCCUGACGCAGCGACGCCGCGUGAGGGAUGAAGGCCUUCGGAUCGUAAACCUCUGUCAGCAGGGAAGAACGGUCACUGUGCUAAUCAGCAGUGAAUUGACGGUACCUGCAAAGGAAGCACCGGCUAACUCCGUGCCAGCAGCCGCGGUAAUACGGAGGGUGCGAGCGUUAAUCGGAAUUACUGGGCGUAAAGCGCUCGUAGGCGGUAUGUCAAGUCAAGGGUGAAAUCCCCGCGCUCAACGUGGGAACUGCCUUUGAAACUGGCAAACUGGAGUGUGUGAGAGGAUAGUGGAAGUCCAGGUGUAGGAGUGAAAUCCGUAGAUAUCUGGAGGAACAUCAGUGGCGAAGGCGACUAUCUGGCACAUAACUGACGCUGAGGAGCGAAAGCGUGGGUAGCAAACAGGAUUAGAUACCCUAGUAGUC